AACGAACGCUGGCGGCAUGCCUAACACAUGCAAGUCGCACGAGACCUUCGGGUCUAGUGGCGCACGGGUGCGUAACGCGUGGGAACCUGCCCUUAGGUUCGGAAUAACUCCCCGACAGGGGUGCUAAUACCGGAUAAUGUCUUCGGACCAAAGAUUUAUCGCCUUUGGAUGGGCCCGCGUUGGAUUAGCUAGUUGGUAGGGUAAAAGCCUACCAAGGCGACGAUCCAUAGCUGGUCUGAGAGGAUGAUCAGCCACAAUGGGACUGAGACACGGCCCAGACUCCUACGGGAGGCAGCAGUGGGGAAUAUUGGACAAUGGGCGAAAGCCUGAGCCAGCAAUGCCGCGUGAGUGAUGAAGGCCUUAGGGUUGUAAAGCUCGUUUACCCGGGAUGAUAAUGACAGUACCGGGAGAAUAAGCUCCGGCUAACUCCGUG
This 433-nucleotide ribosomal RNA is filed under the name uncultured bacterium. RNAcentral describes it as "partial 16S ribosomal RNA". It matches the Rfam family "Bacterial small subunit ribosomal RNA", at positions 29 to 507 of the family's 1533-position model. The record is from RNAcentral.